UACGUAGGGUGCAAGCGUUGUCCGGAAUUAUUGGGCGUAAAGAGCUCGUAGGCGGUCUGUCGCGUCUGCUGUGAAAAUCCAGGGCUCAACCCUGGACCUGCAGUGGGUACGGGCAGACUAGAGUGCGGUAGGGGAGAUCGGAAUUCCUGGUGUAGCGGUGAAAUGCGCAGAUAUCAGGAGGAACACCGGUGGCGAAGGCGGCCUGCUGGGCAGUUGCUGACACUGAGGCGCGACAGCGUGGGGAGCAAACAGG
RNAcentral lists this ribosomal RNA (253 nucleotides) under uncultured bacterium. RNAcentral's name for it is "partial 16S ribosomal RNA". It matches the Rfam family "Bacterial small subunit ribosomal RNA", at positions 524 to 776 of the family's 1533-position model. The record is from RNAcentral.